GAGGUUUGUGGAAAAAAAUAAAUAAAAACAAUAGUAAUACAGAAAAAAAAAUGGGGGCAGCUUCAUCUUUCUCCAUAUUCACGUUAGUUUGAAAGAAAAAGGGAAGAGUAACUCCACAACAUUUCCUUUCUUUUUUUUUUUUCUUCCAUUGCAAUGACUAUCGUAUCCAGAAUUAGGGAGCUGAUCGACUGCAUGUUCUGCUACCGUAGGAGUGUUCUAAGUGAAGCUAUUCUCUUCUUCUUUCACAUAUGCGCUAAAGGAGAGGGAGAAGAACUCGGUGGCAAGG
Long non-coding RNA from Gossypium arboreum, 286 nucleotides. RefSeq lists it as uncharacterized. The record is from RefSeq and is a predicted model, not a curated record. The transcript is spliced from 2 exons. Lineage: Eukaryota; Viridiplantae; Streptophyta; Magnoliopsida; Malvales; Malvaceae.